UUCAGCCGGCAUUAUUUUUGUGACAUUUCAAAACAUAAAGUGAAAUUGAAAUAUUUAACACGUUUUAAAUUAAUAUAUUAAAUAGCUAAAUAUGGAAGUAAUAGAAAACUUUCAAAGUUUUAAAUCGAGAAAAACGUAAUUUUUUUUUUGUAAAUAUUUUUUUCUCGAGUUACUAACCGGUAAUGAGGCCAAUGCACGUUUAAAAUUUCCCGACAGUUUUAAUGUAAGGUUAUAUAUAAAUCCAAUAAAAAGGUACAACAGACAUAAACAAAACAAUGAAUGCUGGCUUGGUAAUGCGAAGUCCAAAAUUCCGAAUAAUACUGUAUAUAUUAAUAUUGGGAGUAGCAUGUUUGAUGGUGUUGCUAAUUCAUAACUCACAUGUGCAUUUAAAAGAAGUAGAAAAUUAUCAUAAUGUUUGCCAGAAAGAAAAAGAUAGAUGUGAAAGAGAAAAAGAUUCAGUUUCUGCUCAGUUACAAGUUCUUUAUGAACGUAAGAAAGAACUGGAAACAUUAUUACAACAAGAACGCUCGGAGCAUCAAAAGACCAAACAGGGUAAUUGUUAUCAAAAAUUCUUUAUUCAGAUUAUUUUUAUAUGCUAAAUAUUAAAAUUGGAGAUAAAUUUACAGAUAUAUAGAGCUAUUUUUCUCAUAUAUGAUUGAUUAUUUUUACUUUCCCUGCUGUUAUAGAACAGAGAAAAAGUAUAGUUAAUGGCCAAAUUUUAACCUUCUGGGUUUUUUAAAUUUCUGAAUGUUUUAAGGUCUCCUGAUUUCAAAAACAUCAAGAUAACAGGAACAACAUUCUGUAUGUAUGUAUGUGUGUUUACCUGUCUUUUGCUUUAUAUCUCAGGACUGCAUGGACCAAAAAUUUUCAGAUUUGGCAAGAAUGCUUCUAUUCUGAACAUUGAUUCUAUUACAUGUUGGAGAUUGUGAGUCAAGGGGAAGAUAGAGAGGGUAUCUCAAGUGGGGUCAGACUUAGUAAAAAUUUCACUUGCUAUUGGCAUUUAUAAAUUUUUUAAAAACUCACUCCUACUUCUAAA
Centruroides sculpturatus (bark scorpion) is the source of this 1036-nucleotide long non-coding RNA. RefSeq lists it as uncharacterized. Lineage: Eukaryota; Metazoa; Arthropoda; Arachnida; Scorpiones; Buthidae. The record is from RefSeq and is a predicted model, not a curated record. The transcript has 3 exons.